This is a long non-coding RNA of Cotesia glomerata, 193 nucleotides long. RefSeq lists it as uncharacterized. The transcript is spliced from 2 exons. The record is from RefSeq and is a predicted model, not a curated record. Lineage: Eukaryota; Metazoa; Arthropoda; Insecta; Hymenoptera; Braconidae.
GCCCAAUGUAUGGAUCUGGAAUCGCCGAUUAAUCCAAAAUCACUACAAGGGCUGGAAUCAUGUCAACCAGGGUGCACCGUUUUUUUUGUAGCCCCCACUUCACCGACCUGUAAUUUGUCCAAUUUAUCAUUUUGUUUUUUUUCAAUUUUUUUUUAUAUUCUUGAAACGUUAAUAAACAUCAUAUAAAAUAACC